Molecule: transfer RNA, 97 nt
Filed under: Xylosma congesta
Lineage: Eukaryota; Viridiplantae; Streptophyta; Magnoliopsida; Malpighiales; Salicaceae
Description: partial tRNA-Asp
Source: RNAcentral
CUGCGGGUUCGAGCCCCGUCAGUCCCGACAAAUCCAAUAAAAAAAAAAAUAGAUCAAUUCAUCUCUUCAUUUUCUGUAAAAGGGGUACAAAUAGCAG